UUUCAAGCGCACGCCAAAGAUUUGCCCAUACGGAGUUGGGAAAACACUGCAAGUCAUUCACAAUCUGAAUGUCCAUCCAUCCAUUUUCUGAUCCACUUGGCCCCACGAGGGUUGCGGGUGGGCUGGGGCCUAUACCAGCUCUUUUCGGGUACACCCUGAACCGGUCGCCAGCCAAUCGCAGGGCACACAAAAAUGGACAACCAUUCGCGCUCACAAUCACACCCGGGGACAAUUUAGUGUGUUCCGGAAACCGGAGUACCCGGAGAUAAGCCACACGGGCACGGGGAGAGCACACAAACUCCACACAGGGAGGAAACCGGAGUACCCGGAGAUAAGCCACACAGGCACGGGGAGAGCAGGCAAACUCCACACAGGGAGGAAACCGGAGUACCCGGAGAUAAGCCACACAGGCACGGGAGAGCACGCAAACUCCACACAGGGAGGAAACCGGAGUACCCGGAGAUAAGCCACACAGGCACGGGAGAGCACGCAAACUCCACACAGGGAGGAAACCGGAGUACCCGGAGAUAAGCCACACAGGCACAGGGAGAGCACGCAAACUCCACACAGGGAGGAAACCGGAGUACCCGGAGAUAAGCCACACAGGCACGGGUAGAGCACGCAAACUCCGCACAGGAAUCGAACACUGCGUCUCUGCGCUGUGAGGCCGAUGUGCUAACCACUCGGCCGUCGUGCCGCCCAUAAUCGGAAUAGUUGACUCUAAAUCCCAUGAUCAAACCAAAAAAUUUUUUAAAAGAUGCUUGCUGCCCAUAAUCUGAACAUUUGACUCGAUGUCCCAUGAUCUGACCAAAAAUGACCAAAAAUCUAUCUCAUGAUUCACCGAUCCACCCAAUUUUGUGUUGGGUGAUCAAACAGCAUGAUUCUCCAACGUACCCCCCAAAAAAAGACAA
Hippocampus zosterae (dwarf seahorse) is the source of this 911-nucleotide long non-coding RNA. RefSeq lists it as uncharacterized. The transcript has 2 exons. NCBI's taxonomy places the organism in Eukaryota, Metazoa, Chordata, Actinopteri, Syngnathiformes, Syngnathidae. The record is from RefSeq and is a predicted model, not a curated record.